CCUCUGUUGUUCUUCAAGUUUUUCCACGGUCGUGUCUUCGAGCCACUUUUGCACAUCUAGAAAGAGCUCGUCCGAAUUCCUUUGAGCUGCCUCCGCUAAGGUUUGUACUCUUUGUCUUGUUAGUUGUAAUUCUGAAACUUGGCUUCGAAGAUUCUGAAUGUUUGUGUUGUAGCUAGUAAGAUAGCGAAUUUGUUGCUUAAGAGAACCAAACAAAUAUUUCGCAACUUCAUUGAUAGGCGUAACCACAAUGGCCAGAAUUUCCAAAGCCAUAGUUUCCUGCCAUGACAGAGAAUUGUACUAGUUUUUCAACAAGAUGACAUAAAAAAAUGAAGAAAUGUAAUCUCAUUUAAUACACCUGAUAUGAACUAAAUCUUAUACAUAAAAAAAAGUUAGUAUAUUGUUCUACAGACGCCUUUCAUAUCAUCAUAUGAUAAAUGGAAAGGUGAUAAUAUGAAUGUUCCAAGAGGCCAUAUAGUUAUGCAGUGUUUGAGAAUUCUACAGAUCAUGUGAACAGUAGUAGCAACGAUUAUAAAAAUUUACAAGAAUUCCAACUCUAAAAAAUUACUUCAAAUUUAACAGAUCUGACAUUUAGAAAACCCAGUACCUACAAAUAAAUCAACGAGCGUUUUUUGCAACACGUACCUUAUCAGAAAAUCCACUUGAACCGCAAUGAUAAGUGCACUUGAACCGCAAUGAAAAGUUUGAAGCUAAGAUGAAGAAGAAGAAGAAGAAGAAGGCAGAGAUGUUCAGAGAGAAGACUAUGGAGAGUCAAUGAUAGAGAGCAUAUAGCGAGUUCAGGUAUUUCCAAGUAAAAACAAUUGAAGUUUCCAGGCAGACGGAUAUGGAGCCCAUUUAUAGUUAUUUUAAUUUUGCACCCUUGUAAAAUAUGGAAUUUUAGAGAAAGAAAUUUGGACUAGGCACCCACUUAUUGUGACUUUAUCGAACUGCUAAAUUAUUUCAAAUUGGAUGGUCUUUUUAAUUAUUAAUUAGCUGGUUUUGUCUGGAGUUUAUAUAAUUAAUUAAUGGCCAUGGACUACUUAAUUAUUUCAAAGGGCAACUUGUUCCUUUUAUAACAUUUCUGUGGUUGUUGGAUCUUGAUUUCCUUACACACGCAAACAUACUAACUUGUGCUUGUAUAAAGUAAGUUGUAUAUGUUCUGGUCUUUUUCCUGCAUCACAUAAGAGAAAUUCCAACUCUUUCUAGGGAAAUUCAGCGUUCGGUUUGACCAUAAUGAUUUUUUUUUUUCGCAAUUUUACUCCCAUUCAAAGGUUCUGCACAGGUCUUUCCUUCGUUUUUGCUGCCGCUGAAGUGAGCAUAAUUGUAUUAAUAAAAGAAUGUGUGACAUUCAAGCUGUUUACAUAGACACAUAGAGGGAACGCUCGCCACUCUCACUAAUCAUCUGCACAACUUACUCAUGCAAUUAAUUAAUCGAAACGAUACCAGUGUACAUGUACUAGUCACUAAUCAUCCAACAAUUUUUUCGACAAUCUGAUAUCAAAUGUCCAACAGAAACCCACUCUCCCUGACACAAGCAUCACAUUAAAAAGAUGGACAUCAUUCAGGAUAAGAAAAAAAGGUGAAGAGAAGAAUAUAUUGCAAACGAGGUGACCAUAAAUUCUUAUCCUCUAACCAGUGUAACAUUCCAACAGUUGUUCCAAACUUGGCUUCCACUCCUGGAAUACCAACAUAUGUCUCCCUUGAUCCUUCCUAAUCAUAUCCACAUUAACAAGUGAUACAUAUAAUUUUUCACUAAAAUCUUCACUUUCUAGGAUAUUCACAACGACUAAUUAAUUGCAUCAUAGGUCAUCAUGUACAGCAGGUUUUGGGAAAUAGAAACAAAGAAAUAUGACAGACUACGACAAUGAAUAUCCAAACAUGAACGCAACAUUGACACCGUAUGACAUUGUUUUACAUUAAACCAUUGGCAGUUUACCAUUAUAUGAAUGAUUAAUUAACAUAGUGAUUCGAUUUUUGCGAGUAUUUUUUUUCUUGCAUUCAAUCAAACACAAAGCAGUUUAUCAGCUAAAGAACACAUAAAAAAUCCCCAUUUUUUGAAAAUCAGAAAAUAAAUAUAAAACAUCCAUCGUUAGUUUUAUUUUUUUUGUUAGUUCAGAAGCAAUGUUUUAGCCCCAAAUUCUGAGAGAGAGAGAGAACAACCUUGACUUAGAAGAAACAAGCCAGAGAGAACCAACAGCCUUCACAUAUAUAGCGGGUGAAUAUAGUCACCAACCUUUUUAUAUAUAUUAAAUAUAAAUAUGUGAAGAUGAAGAGUGUCAAAUUAUGUAUAUACUAACUAUUUUUGAUAAAAUUACUCGACCUUCAAAUUAGUUUCUAGUGUCAAAAUCUUGGUAAAAUCCGUUUUUUCAGAAUUCGAAAUUUCACUCAAAAUAUGAGCAUUUUGGACUAUGGUUAGGUAUACAAAGAAACAUGUAUGCAUGCAAAUAAAAUUAUGAUCAUACCAUAGUACAAAAUAUCUCGCGAUAUAUAUAUUAUUUUCUGACAAAACAAUACGAUAUAUUCUCGAUAGUUACCAUUUAAUGUUUUUGUAAAAUAUCGACCGAUAUUGGUUGAUAUUUUCUGAUAUUUUUUGGAAAUUUUUUUUUUUUAGAAAUAAUUUGCUUAUUCUAUUUUUAGUAGAUAUGAUGUUUUUUAGGUAAAUACUAUGAUAAUAUACUUCCAAAUUUGAUUUUAUAUAUAUUUUGUAUAACAAAUGGAUAUAUUAGUCGAUACAUUCGAUGUAAAAUAUCCACCGAUAGAUUCCAAUAUAUCCUGAUAUAUCUAUUUUUGGGAGAUCGAUACAUUAGUCGAUACCAUAUUUUGUACUAUGGAUCAUACCACUUGUCGACUUGUUGUAAUGUCUUAAAUGUUGGUAUGAUAAUACAGUUCUACUGGAAUGUGAUAAGCAGGAGGUGGAGAUGAAAUAUGUUAACAGCAAGAUAAGCAGGUGAUGAUUAUGCAGAAUAUAUUCUUCAGUUCUGAAAAUGGAUAAAAAAGGAGGUAGGGAGAAGGUCAUGGUUUAGAGUUUAGAGUUUUAGGUUAUUAAGUAUGAAUAGUUGUAAUGCGAUGAUGAUAACUCGAGUAAGAUUAACUGCACGUAUGAUUGUAGUAAACUCAUCGAGACGACAUUUAGCAUCACAUUCUGAUAUGGAGAUUAUGACGACAUCGUCGUUAUAUAUGAAUAAAUUUGAUCCUGUAAUUGAGAUUGUUCAUAGUGGGAAGGUAUGUGUAAUUUGUUUAGAUGAUAUGAAAGAAGGUGAGGCCGUAAAAGCACUUGAAUGCAAGUGAUUGACAAUAUAUGAUGUGGCAAUUGUACAUGGUUAUGGAUAGAGAGCGCUUACAACCAGGCAACCAGCAAUCCAAAGAUACGAAUGUUCAAACAAUCUAAACCAAGUGGGGGAGAAGAACAAUGACGACAUAACAACCUAUACAUCAUCACACAGAUGUAGAAUGAAACAUAAAUUACGAGGUCAAGGAUCAGCAGCAGAUACCCAGACAUUCUAAAUUUAUAACACAUAUGUACUUGAGACACAACUAAGGAAAAAAUGUAACUGAUGUAAAUGUUCACAAAGGCUCAAUUCUAAUAAUGAUUGGUAAAACAAGAAAGUCUGAAACUCUGAACAAUCUACAAGACUACAACUGAUGAAUAUUAUUUCAACUUCAGCUAUAUUUAAAGAUAAACAAUAAGUCUGAACAUAUAACUCCGAGCUUCCAAUAUCUUGUUACUCAACCUGGGGGACUGACUGAUGUCAUGUGCAUAAUGUUUGAUGUUGGGUUUACAUAAGCUAUGAGUCAUAGCUACAAUAGUACAAAAUAUAUAAAAAUGAUGGCCAAAGAAGAUGGAAGAGAUUAUGAACUGGAAACUUCCGAAUUGUGCGACGUUCCUCCUAUAACAAGUAUAUAUUGACCAUUCAUUCUAUUCUUUAUAUUGGUAGAUCAUCUGUCGAUCUAUCACUUGUAUCACUCAUAUGGAUUCUUAAAGUUUUUCAGGAGUUCUGGUAUAUCAUAACCCAACAUAUCAUCAACAGCUUGUACCAUCUUUGGCUUCAGCUUCUCAAAUUUGUCGAUGCUGUAACCACUCAAAACCUCUCUGAAGUGUUCAACAUUUGGGAAGUCGCCUAUUGGUAGAUGAUGCUCCCUCUGGACCUGUUGACAAACAAGUAAUAGUUGUCAAAUGCUUCCAUUUUCAAAGCAAUGAGUACAUCAAUAAUAUUACUCGCAUCAUUGUAGUACCUUUGCAAAUUCAUCUUCAAGAUUAUCAAUGAGUCUUUGUUGGGCGUUAGCUUUGCCCAUAAUUGCAGGCAUCUCCUUUUUAAGAUGGCUCAUUAUAUAGGCAUGAAUCUUAGCAGCUCUAGCACGUUUCACAAAUUCAUUUAUCUGCAUUCAAAAAUACCAUUUAUGUUAUCGGGAAGAACAUGACAAAUGGCAUACAAGAUGGCUAGUUUUUCAGACAAGUAUGGAGAACAUACUUGACGAUCACAAGCCUUCUUUGGAAUAUCUUUCAGAUCGGACAGAAGGUCAUCUUGUUCUUUCUCAAAUAGCUCUUUUCCAAUUGGACCAAUUAGUGCUUCAUUUACAGGUUUGUCAUUUAAGGAGCUGUCCAGGUCAAAGAAAAUGUUAGUUUCUAGAUAAGUAGGAUACCUAUCUUCUCCUACAAUACCAUAUAUAAUGAUCAACCAGAAUAGCAAUGCAUUUAGAAUAGAUUCAGGACUAGGUAGGUUAUAAAAAAGGGUUAUACAUUUCUUCUGCUUCUUCUUCUUCUUCAAUUCUCAAUUACCAAAUCCCAUUAAAAAGGGUUAUACAUUACUUGAAUAUAAAAAGGGUUAUACAUUACUUGAAUAUUCAUGCAUAAGGUCAUAUAUUCAACAACAACAAAAUGGAAAUGAAUAUAAUACAUGACGCAUACCAUAUAUACAUCAGAAUAUCAGAUGCUUCAACCAAAUGAGACAUACAAAUACUUCAUUACAUCAUGAAUACGUGCACACUCUUAAAACUUAGCAGAGCUUUAGCUAAUAAGAUAUAUUAAUAGAUAGCAUACCCAAUAUAGACACGCAUGAUCUCAGGAGUAUUCAAAACUUUUCAGAGUGACCACAUCAAUGCUCCAUAAACUCUCAUCAGCUACAUAAAUAGAACAUAUUAGGAUAUUAUAGAUUAAUGUCAAUUCAAAUACAGAAAACGAUAUCUUAUUGGAUAUAAUUGACAGAUUUUCUUACUUGCUGUGUGUCCACUUGAUCAGCCUUAUUAAGAACCACACGUAUCUUGUCAUCAUGACCACGUAGAGAUCCAAUGACACGCUUGAAUUCAUCACUGAUGUCCAGUUUAUGAGGAUCAAAUAGAAGGAGAAUGAGAUCACAUUUUGCAGCAAGCCACGACGUCACCCCAGUGAAAUCAUAGCUUCGCUGCGUCCUUAAGAAAAAAACUCACUGGAUGUGGCAUUUGGGAGCACUGAAAUUUGGAUAAAAAUGCAGUUCCAAAUGUUGUAAGUCCACUGAAUGGCAUGUCUGCUUGAACAGCUAUAGUGUUGCCAGGAAUACUUCUUUCAUCUGGUCCUGACUGAUUGAGGUGAAAAUGUCAUGGCCAAGAGACAAAUUUGGUGGAAUGGAUAAAGAAAAGAUGGAAAAAACGCAAUAGAUGCACACUAGCUUUAGAAUGGGUUUUUUUGCUUCAGAGGAAAAAUUAGUAAAAUGAUUUAAAACUUACAAACCAAAUUAAGCUUAAAAGUUAUAUAUUUAACUUCUAAAAUCCUUAUGCACUACAAAAUCUAAAUGGCAAAGAACAAUCGUGUGAUCAAGUAAUGCAGCUGUUCAUAUGAAGACAACAAACACAUAUUAGCUUUGGUAGCUAGGUCUGACCCACCAAUUAUUAAUUAGCAUUCAGAUAGAGCAUUCUGAAGCAAACUCACUGAAAUACUAUCUUCUGGUCAAAAGAGAUCAUAGAAAAAUGUUUAUAUAUUCUGCAAUUUUCUAAGAUAAACAAAGUCCUUUUUCGAAAACCCUUGCAUAGUUGCAUAUGUUUGAUCUUAAAUUAAUGUUGGUUUUCAGAACAUCUAAUCAUUCUCUCAACAGGAAAGCAAAUAUUGUCAAGCAUGUACUCAGUAUUUCGUGAGAGCUUCUCCUUGAGUAUAAACCUUUGUGAAUCUUACUUUUUCAUGAAGAUUAAAGAGGGAUUUAUGUAUGCAUCUGUGAGAAGAAAUGGAAGUGUUUACCAUAACAACCACAAAUCUGUCAGUUGUAGGCUCCGGACCAAUGUUUGUCUGCCAAAAGAAACAAGAUGUUAAUAAAAUAACAUCAAUCCUUAUCUCCCAAAAUUAUUUCAAGGUGAGAGUACUCAAAAAUAACAUGCAACUGUACGUAUGUAAAGGGCACUAACCAGGGUAGGAGAGACAAGAUAUAACCUUUUUAAACCAUCAACAAUUGAUGUAACAGAGCUCAAGGAUACCUAAAAAAGGAUAAUAGCAGUCAGAAAAAAAAAUCUGAUAAGCCAUAAAGGGAUAUGCCCUGUCACAAACUGUAAACCAUUCUUUACUUUGACACAUAACACAGGGAAGGCAAACAUCAAGAAUACAGAUUAAAGUAAUCAGCUUGAUGAUUGAAUUGUUUGAUUAAUUGCAUAUUAUUAAAUUAAAAUGUUUAAUAAAUUUAAAAAAUGUAUUUGUGUACAAAGUUUUGAUCAUGAUUUAUGAAUCUGCUAUAGGAUCUAACUAGUAAUUUUACAACAGCAGCAUAUGUGUGUCUGCAUCAAACAUUAGUAGAAGCCUUUUGACACAGUAAUGUCAGGUACACUCCCUACCCAAGAAGAGAAGGAUGAAAACUAGGCCCUCUUUGUCGUUCUGCAUACCUUGUGUAACAAAUAUGUGUAUAGGAAGAGUUUACUGUGAAGUCAUGAUUCCUUGCAUAAAAAAACUCGCACUAAAAAACCUGGAUAAAAUAUUUUCAAGAUAAUGCAUUGAAGGCUGUUGUAUGGUUCAAAUUGGACCUCUACUGAUUUGCCUAAGCUUUUCAAGUCAGGCUUAGCAGAUAAAAUAUGAUUUCUAGCUAGGUUUAAACUCUGACUCGGGCAUGGCUUGGAAAUCUAUAAUUUAUGAUUUGGUACUGUUUAAAGCAAAUUCGAUUACGCUCUAGGCCUAUAGGUUUACACUUCAACUGCGCUAGACUUGAGGAGUUGAGGUUAUAACCCAAGAUCCGAAGGCUAUUUGGACAUCCUCAAGUUUGUCGUACUGAGUCCCUACAAUACUUAAUAUGUUCAUGUUACAGUUUUAUCUGUAGGUUAUUGAAGACCUAGUGUGUUCGAACACCACUGGUAUAUAUUGUGUUCAUGAAUAUAGACUGUGCAUUGUACAAAUAGAUUAAUAAGAUCACGGUGGACAAUUAUCAUUUGCAAAAGAUUCACAAUUUGUUUGACUACUUAAAGGUGUAGUUUUUCCAAAAAUUAAUUGAGUUUGGUUUGAUCAGAUCUUUAAGCCUCUGCCUUACCAGCAUCAUAUCCUUUUCUUCUCUUUUUGUAUUUUAAUCCUUUAGAAGUGCUCUACAAAUUCCAUGUCUGAGCCAUGGAAUUUUGCCUGCAGACUUUGAUCUCCCCAUUCUAAUUUAUGGAACCAAUCAGUUUCUGCUCAUCGCAAUCACAAUAACAACAUAACAAAGAAGAAAGCAACUAAAAGUUGUAAGAUUACACACCAGGUCAUCGCAAUCACAAUAAACAUAGACGAAACUACUCCAAAGAGUCUGAUGUGCUGCAAGUUUUUAAACAUCGCUGUCUGGAAUCGAAUUUUCCUUAUCAAGAUUUGAAUUACUGCAAAAAUGUAAGACAAGAACAAGAUGAGAAAAAUAAAAAGAUGUAAUUCAGAUUAAAGUUUACGGAUAUUACUAACUUGAAAUAGAGUAUAUGUCUGACAAACUUAACUGAGUAGCAGAGUAGGUAGACGGUACAAUGGUUUAUAGUACCAUCUCCUGUUAUUGAUGCUAAUUAAGCCUGCUGCAUCAAACAUAAUUUCUGUAAGUAAAGCUACAUAAUUUUAACACUGUAAAAUUCAUUUAGAAAGCAUUGAUAUAGGUUUUAUCGGUCAAAUAUAUCUUUAGAAAAAGAAUAAGAUAUAACUAAAAAAGCAAUGGCCGGAAAUCUCAUAGUCAUAGUCUCAUACACUGUCCAAUAUUUUCUACUGUCGAUUAUUGACAAUUUUUUUUUUUGUCGAUUAUUGUAGCAAAUCUCACAAUAAGUUUUGACUAAUAUCUGACAAUUCCCCAACCUAUCUUAAAAAUUUUCCAUUUGGAUAAUGAAAAGCAGAAAAAGAAAAGAAGAAAUCUAGUAAUAACUUUUAGCCAUCUUUUGAAAAAAAAAUAAAAAUAAAAUGUCAUAGCAGUAUUAUGGAUAGUAAAUCACGAAAUAAAAUAUUCAUAUGUCAGAAAAAAAUGGAAGAACAUGUCAUAGCAGUAUUAUGGAUUCAGAUAAUAAGAAGUUUGCAAUCUCUACUGGCACCCUAAUCAUGACCCAAAUGUAAAGCAUAUGUAAAAAGGAAGAAAAAAUAAAAUAAAUGAUCUACAUACCUCUUCAAAGAAAGGCUGGAAUAUUUCCUUAUGGCUUUGAUCUGCCCAUUCUAAUUCAUUGAACCAAUCAGUUUCUGCUUUGAAAGUUUGUAGAUGGGAAGCAGUUUGUGGUGCAAGGGGAAACUUCUUCAAAUUCCUACAUCCACGAACAACAAUCGUUUCCAAAGGACAACUGAUAGGUAUAUCGCCUUUGUAGAAGCUUGUUAGACUCCUCAAGUCCCACAAUUGGAGAGUUUUGAGUUGAGGUAACAAACAGGAAUGAUCGUCUGGCACUUCAUCUUCAUUUUCUCCUCCAACUAUUUCCUUCAAACUGGAGCAAUACUGUACAUGAAGAUGUUCAAGUCUCUUAAUAGCUAACAACAAAUUAGCUGAAAAGAUGUUCUUUAUUUGAUUGCAUCUGUACACUUCUAAGAAUCUUAAUUGUCCAAAGAAUCCAGUUGAUGGAGUUGGGCCAUGGUAGAUUUUCUUCAUUCCUUUCAAGCCAUCUAAUGUUAUCUUCUUUAACGUGUUGAAGGAAUCUUGUGAAUCCUUAUUUGAUUCAUCAAUGCCGAUGAGAUAUUCAAUAUCAUCACAUCCAUUAACAGCAAGUUUUUCCAAUUGUUUCAAAUCCCUCAAUGCAACAAGAUCUGCAACAUUUUUAAUUCCAAAACAUUCAUAUAACACAAGAUUUAACCCAACUGAGGUGGAAAUCAACUUGUAAACCCAAUGCCAAUACUCCAACGGAUUUACUCCAUUCAAUCCCACAAGCUGAUGCUGGGGAUCACGCUCAUAAUAUGACUCAGUAUUUGUUUCUUGAAUGAAUAGUUGUUUCAGAUUGUUCAACCAUGAGACAUGGGGCUCGGUUUCCGUACCUUUUAUACAAAUGGUCAACCUUGAGAGACGACUUAAUAACUCCACCUCCUUCAAGCUAGCAUUGUAUUCUCCUCCACUUGUCAUUGUGUCCCACUCAUCAUAACCAUUCUCCAUAUAGAAUUCAUUGGUCAUAUAGAAUUCCUCCAAAUAUGAUAAUUUUGAUAUAACAUUCCGUGCUACAAAUAACAGUUUUGCCCCACUCAAAUCCAAGCUUCUUAGAUUAACCAGGUUGCCAAUUUCUUCUGGCAGCGUCUUUACGAUUGAAUAACUCAACUUGAGUAUUUCAAGUUUUCUUAAACCUCCUAGCAAGGAGAUUUUGUCUGAAACAUCACAAUGCACUAAAUGUAGUGUCUUUAGAUUUGUGAGACACGAGAAUGAUUGUGGUGUUGGCAUGAUGAAACUAUUUUGACUCCAUUUCCAGAUUCCUCUCAAAUCAAGGACUUCAAGUGAUUUAUUAUCUUCAAAGAAACUCUCUUGAUCUAUCCUUAUAUAAUCAUUUUCUCUGAUUAAUAAACUCUGAAGUUGGGGACAUUCUAGUGGAUCCCGCAACACAUCAUUCGAAUGCUUCAUAAAUGAGAUUCGCUUCUUUUCUUUCAGAUCUUCUGAUUCUCGAAAUUUAAUCAAUCCUCCACCAAUAUUCACAAGAAACCCAUACUCCGCAUCUCCACCAAUACAUAUCGCAACAUCGCGAACUACAUCAUGCAUUUUUACAGAAUUCUCUUCAUCUCCCUCCAACAAUAGGCAACAAUCUUUUAGUUUCUUAAUAAAAGAUAACAACUUGUCAGAUGCAUUGUCUAAAGUCCCACCUACCUUCAAGAAUCGUUCUCCGAUGCCAUAAUCUCUCAGAUCAAGCAAAUCAAUAUUGUAAUCUUCAGGAAACAAGCAGCAAAACAAAAAGCACUUCUUGAUUUCUGGCGACUCUAACCGUUCGAAACUAAAGCUUAAGCUUGUUACCACUUCUGACAUUAUACCAUCUAGACCACUUCGAGUAGGAUCUGAUAAUACAUUCAAUGCAUCACUCCAUACAAAUUCUUCCUUCACUGAUGUCAGUACCGAUCCUAGCACAGAAAUCGCCAAAGGCGAGCCCUUGCAUUUUGCUACAAUCUUCUCUGCAAUAGGUUUUAAAUUGGGCAAUGUAACUACAUACCCUGCUUUUGAUUCAAAUAAAUCCCAUGAUUCAACCUCGGAGAGAGGCUCCACCUUGAUUAUUUUCUGAAGUUUCAUUUGAUCACAAACUUCCUGCUUACGAGUAGUGACUACAAGUUUACAGCCUCUAGAAAGUCCGAUAUCCUCCACCUUAAGUGGUUUCCACACGUCGUCCAAAAUUAUCAACAACUUCUCCUCUGUUUCCAACCUUUUAAACAAUCUGUUUGCUCUUACAUUUGUUGAAGUAGCUUCAAGAUUCAUUCCUAGCCGCCGUGCAAAGUCAUCUUGGAUUUUCAUCAAGUCUGGAUCUUUGGACACAAUGACCAUUAUAACUUUGUUGAAGAGUUUGUGUCCAUCAAGUUCAUUGUUGAUUUUUUCCACAAGAGUUGUCUUCCCUAUACCACCCAUGCCAUGCACGCCAAUAGAUCUGAUAUUAGAAUCUCCCAAUGCCACCAUCAAAUCAUUCAUAAGAGAAUCCCUCGGCAAAAUGUUCUCAACAAUGGUAGUAGUGCGGACAAGUUCAACAUUUGGAGGAGGUCGUGGAUGCGCUAUUCCAGUUACAAGGAAGUCAUUCACCUUUUCUUGAAGGGUAUGGAAGGUCUCUGUCAUCCUCACUGCUUGUUUACUUAGCCUGAGACGUGAGCUAAGAUCUGGACAGAGUCCCUUGAAGCAUUUCUUGUUAAUAUUGACUUCAUCGAUGAAAUGCCUCUGUUGUUCUUCAACUUUUUCCACGGUCGUGUCUUCGAGCCACUUUUGCACAUCUAGAAAGAGCUCGUCCGAAUUCCUUUGAGCCGCCUCCGCUAAGGUUUGUACUCUUUGUCUUGUUUGUUGUAAUUCUGAAACUUGGUUUUGAAGAUUCUGAAUGUUUGUUUUGUAGCUGGUAAGAUAGCGGAUUUGUUGCUUAAGAG
RNAcentral lists this long non-coding RNA (11443 nucleotides) under Aquilegia coerulea. RNAcentral's name for it is "long non-coding RNA (ACOE_LNC001537)". Lineage: Eukaryota; Viridiplantae; Streptophyta; Magnoliopsida; Ranunculales; Ranunculaceae. The record is from RNAcentral.